Molecule: long non-coding RNA, 596 nt
Filed under: Betta splendens (Siamese fighting fish)
Lineage: Eukaryota; Metazoa; Chordata; Actinopteri; Anabantiformes; Osphronemidae
Description: lncRNA (ENSBSLG00000013828.1)
Source: RNAcentral
AUGCACCGAGCCGCGUCAUCGGGCACCAGAGCUGCGCCUGGCGCUCGUGUGCGGAGGUUCUGGCUUCAAAAAGCCGAACAUCGCACAACGGGGAAAUGUGGAAACAUCUGCUCCUCGACUAGAACACAGGAAGUGCGCGCAGAACGGCUGCUUUUAAACACGUCUUCAAACAGAAGCGGGAGGAAAAGCACCUGGGAGGUGAUGAUGAGCGGAAGAGAAAACAGGUAGACAGAGCAACUGUGGGGGUUUGCUGCCGCCUACUGGUCAAAGCGUGUAACUGACGCUGCCCAUCGCAACAGUGAAGAUAAAAGAUAAGACAUUUCUUCCCUUCGGUAUAGAUUGAGAUAUUUUCUCUGUACACUCUGAAGUCAUUGUCAAAAAGGUGCAAACUUAAAAUGCUAAUUAAUUUUGGCUUUUAAAGUAGCUUAUUAAAUGCACUGUUUCUCUGAUCACACAGUGCCAUCUACUGAUACACAAGUUAUCCUUACACCAUAUGUACAGACUGUUAGAGUGGGUGUGAUUUGGCUGAUUUAGUUUAUUGUUCUAGUCCCUGCUAUUCUGACCAAAAUUAAUAAAUAUUAUACAUUUACUAAACA